Molecule: ribosomal RNA, 100 nt
Filed under: Carboxydocella sp. JDF658
Lineage: Bacteria; Bacillati; Bacillota; Clostridia; Eubacteriales; Clostridiales Family XVI. Incertae Sedis
Source: RNAcentral
GGGGCAACACCCGUACCCAUACCGAACACGGCAGUUAAGCCCACCAGCGCCGAUGGUACUUGGACCGCAGGGUCCUGGGAGAGUAGGUCGCUGCCGGACA